Molecule: ribosomal RNA, 460 nt
Filed under: uncultured bacterium
Lineage: Bacteria
Description: partial 16S ribosomal RNA
Rfam family: Bacterial small subunit ribosomal RNA
Source: RNAcentral
CCUACGGGAGGCAGCAGUGAGGAAUAUUGGUCAAUGGACGAGAGUCUGAACCAGCCAAGUCGCGUGAAGGAUGACUGCCCUAUGGGUUGUAAACUUCUUUUAUAUGGGAAUUAAUUGUUCCACGUGUGGGAUUUUGUAUGUACCAUAUGAAUAAGGCUCGGCUAACUCCGUGCCAGCAGCCGCGGUAAUACGGAGGCUCCGAGCGUUAUCCGGAUUUAUUGGGUGUAAAGGGAGCGUAGGUGGAUUGUUAAGUCAGUUGUGAAAGUUUGCGGCUCAACAGUAAAAUUGCAGUUGAAACUGGCAGUCUUGAGUACAGGAGAGGUAGGCGGAAUUCGUGGUGUAGGGGUGAAAUGCUUAGAGAUCACGAAGAACUCCGAUUGCGAAGGCAGUUCACUGGACUGCUACUGACACUGAGGCUCGAAAGUGUGGGGAUCAAACAGGAUUAGAUACCCGGGUAGUC